Molecule: ribosomal RNA, 443 nt
Filed under: uncultured bacterium
Lineage: Bacteria
Description: partial 16S ribosomal RNA
Rfam family: Bacterial small subunit ribosomal RNA
Source: RNAcentral
CCUACGGGGAGCAGCAGUGGGGAAUAUUGGGCAAUGGGCGCAAGCCUGACCCAGCAACGCCGCGUGAAGGAAGAAGGCUUUCGGGUUGUAAACCUCUUUUUACAGGGACGAAGCAAGUGACGGUACCUGAGGAAUAAGCCACGGCUAACUACGAGCCAGCAGCCGCGGUAAUACGUAGGUGGCAAGCGUUAUCCGGAUUCACUGGGUGUAAAGGGCGUAGAGGCGGGACUGCAAGUCAGAUGUGAAACCCACGGGCUCAACCUGUGGCCUGCAUUGGAAACUGUAGUUCUUGAGUACUGUAGAGGCAGACGGAAUUCCUAGUGUAGCGGUGAAAUGCGUAGAUAUUAGGAGGAACACCAGUGGCGAAGGCGGUCUGCUGGACAGCAACUGACGCUGAGGCGCGAAAGCGUGGGGAGCAAACAGGAUUAGAUACCCCUGUAGUC